AUACGUAGGGGGCAAGCGUUAUCCGGAUUUACUGGGUGUAAAGGGAGCGCAGACGGCGAUGCAAGUCUGAAGUGAAAUGCCGCAGCUCAACUGCGGAAUUGCUUUGGAAACUGUGUGGCUAGAGUAUCGGAGGGGUAAGCGGAAUUCCUAGUGUAGCGGUGAAAUGCGUAGAUAUUAGGAAGAAAACAGGUGGCGAAGGCGGCUUACUGGACGAUAACUGACGUUGAGGCUCGAAAGCGUGGGGAGCAAACAGGAUUAGAUCCCCUGGUAGUCCACGCCGUAAACGAUGAAUACUAGGUGUCGGCAUCUAAGAGAUGUCGAUGCCGCCGCUAACGCAUUAAGUAUUCCACCUGGGGAGUACGUUCGCAAGAAUGAAACUCAAAUGAAUUGACGGGG
This 396-nucleotide ribosomal RNA is filed under the name uncultured bacterium. RNAcentral describes it as "partial 16S ribosomal RNA". It matches the Rfam family "Bacterial small subunit ribosomal RNA", at positions 523 to 918 of the family's 1533-position model. The record is from RNAcentral.